RNAcentral lists this ribosomal RNA (266 nucleotides) under uncultured Staphylococcus sp. RNAcentral's name for it is "partial 16S ribosomal RNA". It matches the Rfam family "Bacterial small subunit ribosomal RNA", at positions 96 to 354 of the family's 1533-position model. The record is from RNAcentral. Lineage: Bacteria; Bacillati; Bacillota; Bacilli; Caryophanales; Staphylococcaceae.
CGGCGAACGGGUGAGUAACACGUGGAUAACCUACCUAUAAGACUGGGAUAACUUCGGUAAACCGGAGCUAAUACCGGAUAAUAUAUUGAACCGCAUGGUUCAAUAGUGAAANACGGUUUUGCUGUCACUUAUAGAUGGAUCCGCGCCGCAUUAGCUAGUUGGUAAGGUAACGGCUUACCAAGGCAACGAUGCGUAGCCGACCUGAGAGGGUGAUCGGCCACACUGGAACUGAGACACGGUCCAGACUCCUACGGGAGGCAGCAGGC